CCUACGGGAGGCAGCAGUGGGGAAUAUUGCACAAUGGGGGAAACCCUGAUGCAGCCAUGCCGCGUGUGUGAAGAAGGCCUUCGGGUUGUAAAGCACUUUCAGUUGUGAGGAAAAGUUAGUAGUUAAUACCUGCUAGCCGUGACGUUAACAACAGAAGAAGCACCGGCUAACUCCGUGCCAGCAGCCGCGGUAAUACGGAGGGUGCAAGCGAUAAUCGGAAUUUAUGGGCGUAAAGCGCAUGCAGGCGGUUUGUUAAGUUAGAUGAGAAAGCCCCGGACUCAGCUUGGGAUGGUCAUUUUGAACUGGCAGAGUAGAGUCUUGGAGAGGGGAGUGGAAUUCCAGAUGUAGCGGUGAAAUGCUUGGAAUCUGGAGGAACUUCAGUGGCGAAGCAAACCCCCGGGCCAA
Molecule: ribosomal RNA, 405 nt
Filed under: uncultured bacterium
Lineage: Bacteria
Description: bacterial SSU rRNA
Rfam family: Bacterial small subunit ribosomal RNA
Source: RNAcentral